This 254-nucleotide ribosomal RNA is filed under the name uncultured bacterium. RNAcentral describes it as "partial 16S ribosomal RNA". It matches the Rfam family "Bacterial small subunit ribosomal RNA", at positions 524 to 776 of the family's 1533-position model. The record is from RNAcentral.
UACGUAGGGGGCAAGCGUUGUCCGGAAUUAUUGGGCGUAAAGAGCUCGUAGGCGGUCUGUUGCGUCCGCUGUGAAAACUCGGGGCUUAACCCCGAGCCUGCAGUGGAUACGGGCAGACUAGAGGUAGGUAGGGGAGAAUGGAAUUCCCGGUGUAGCGGUGAAAUGCGCAGAUAUCGGGAGGAACACCGGUGGCGAAGGCGGUUCUCUGGGCCUUACCUGACGCUGAGUGAGCGAAAGCCAGGGGAGCAAACGGG